UUGUUAUAGUUAAAUUUGUUUGAAAUUGUUUUGUAGUAACGAUCAAUUAGCCAUGAUGAAAGAGAAGGAUAAAGGAGUGAAGAUAAAUGAUGAUUUGAGGAAAAAAUUGGGCAAGAAGUGGAAUGCACUUUCAAAAGUAGAAAAAGAAAAUUUCAUGGCAAAGUCCAAAGAAAGUUCAAAACAAUAUUCACUUCAAAAGGGUGUGGUUCCAAAGUUAUAUCUUCAGACUCGAUGCUCCCCCGAGCGAGUGAUUAGAGUGAUUGAAAAAUUAGAACCAAAGCAAAAGGCAACCAUAGAAGA
Molecule: long non-coding RNA, 300 nt
Organism: Vitis vinifera (wine grape)
Lineage: Eukaryota; Viridiplantae; Streptophyta; Magnoliopsida; Vitales; Vitaceae
Exons: 3
Source: RefSeq, a predicted model, not a curated record